GCAAGCCGAGCGGUAGAAGUCCUUCGGGACUUUGAGAGCGGCGUACGGGUGCGUAACACGUGUGCAACCUACCUUUAUCAGGGGAAUAGCCUUUCGAAAGGAAGAUUAAUACCCCAUAAUAUAUUGAAUGGCAUCAUUUGAUAUUGAAAACUCCGGUGGAUAGAGAUGGGCACGCGCAAGAUUAGAUAGUUGGUGAGGUAACGGCUCACCAAGUCAAUGAUCUUUAGGGGUCCUGAGAGGGAGAUCCCCCACACUGGUACUGAGACACGGACCAGACUCCUACGGGAGGCAGCAGUGAGGAAUAUUGGACAAUGGGUGAGAGCCUGAUCCAGCCAUCCCGCGUGAAGGAUGACGGUCCUAUGGAUUGUAAACUUCUUUUGUAUAGGAAUAAACCUACUCUCGUGAGAGUAGCUGAAGGUACUAUACGAAUAAGCACCGGCUAACUCCGUGCCAGCAGCCGCGGUAAUACGGAGGGUGCAAGCGUUAUCCGGAUUUAUUGGGUUUAAAGGGUCCGUAGGCGGACCGAUAAGUCAGUGGUGAAAUCUCAUAGCUUAACUAUGAAACUGCCGUUGAUACUGUCGGUCUUGAGUAAAUUUGAAGUGGCUGGAAUAAGUAGUGUAGCG
RNAcentral lists this ribosomal RNA (623 nucleotides) under uncultured bacterium. RNAcentral describes it as "bacterial SSU rRNA". It matches the Rfam family "Bacterial small subunit ribosomal RNA", at positions 57 to 680 of the family's 1533-position model. The record is from RNAcentral.